This 962-nucleotide long non-coding RNA is filed under the name Homo sapiens (human). RNAcentral's name for it is "HSALNT0252201". The record is from RNAcentral. Lineage: Eukaryota; Metazoa; Chordata; Mammalia; Primates; Hominidae.
AUACAUGAUGGGAAGGCUUAUGAACAGAGAAAGCUAAGAAUUUAAAGAACUGUCAAGUAAUGAUCAGAAAUGAAGAUAAAGCAUCUAUGAAAUCAUAAAGUCAAUGAGAAAUUAUUAUAUUUAUAUUACUCAGCAAUGUACAUUUUAUAGAGAGAUUAUCUGUAACAUUUCCAGCUUCAUUGAAGAUGCAUGUCCUGAAAAUAUCUAAGGUUUAAAAUGCCAACAAUUAAGAAAGGGUUACUUUUCCAGGAGGGAAGCAGUUUGUUAAAAUUAUAAAAAGCAGAUUACUAUCAACAAAUGACACCCUAAAAAGAUCACUGACCAAGAAUUUAAUAUACAUAACACACAACACAAAAUACCAGUUUAUAAACUACAUAUAUUUUACUACAUUAAAGUCCCUCCAGAAAUCUAUUCAUGCAAUGAUCUAACUGAAAUAAAUAUGGUGGAUUAGUCUGUAAUGGAAUAAAAGGAAUUAAAAUAGUAAUAUAGUUCUCCAUGUAGAUAUGCGGGGGACAGAAUUUCCCAGAUUUAUUGACGCCUCUCUGGAGAAAAGCAAACAGUUUACAUUCCUCAUAACACUGAACUGAAGAUAUUAUUUAUAUACUAUCAAAAUAAAAUAUAUUUGUUUUUGAUGCAAUAUUAAGUUUAUAUUAACUGUUAUGUACUUUAUGAUUGGUGUGGUCUUAACAGAGAAUAGGAUGUUUUAAGAUUUUUCUUAAACAUGCAAAGUAAACCACAAAAAAGACAAUCAAAACAGUUUCCUGUACUUGGUUCUGAAGAGAAAAUAUGAAUGAUGAGAUGUGCCACUUGGAGACUGUGAUCACAGUGUAGGCUCACACACAAAAUGCAUACAGAACACAUUCUUACGCAGUAUGAAAAUUGUCUAAAAUUCAAUUUUUUUACCAAUAUGCAGAAACUUACCUGAUACAUUAUUUUUGAUUAGUAGUUUGUCUCUAUUAUUA